GAUGAACGCUAGCUACAGGCUUAACACAUGCAAGUCGAGGGGAAACGAUGAGAGAGCUUGCUCUCUUAGUCGUCGACCGGCGCACGGGUGAGUAACGCGUAUCCAACCUGCCUCUGACCAAGGGAUAACCCGUCGAAAGUCGGACUAAUACCUUAUGCAGUCGUCGGAAGUCAUCUGAUGACGACGAAAGAUUUCAUCGGGGAGAGAUGGGGAUGCGUCUGAUUAGCUUGUUGGCGGGGUAACGGCCCACCAAGGCGACGAUCAGUGGGGGUUCUGAGAGGAAGGUCCCCCACAUUGGAACUGAGACACGGUCCAAACUCCUACGGGAGGCAGCAGUGAGGAAUAUUGGUCGAUGGGCGUAAGCCUGAACCAGCCAAGUAGCGUGCAGGAUGACGGCCCUAUGGGUUGUAAACUGCUUUUAUGCGGGGAUAAAGUGAGGGACGUGUCCUUCAUUGCAGGUACCGCAUGAAUAAGGACCGGCUAAUUCCGUG
RNAcentral lists this ribosomal RNA (491 nucleotides) under uncultured bacterium. RNAcentral describes it as "partial 16S ribosomal RNA". It matches the Rfam family "Bacterial small subunit ribosomal RNA", at positions 28 to 507 of the family's 1533-position model. The record is from RNAcentral.